This 581-nucleotide ribosomal RNA is filed under the name Sporothrix pallida. Its description in RNAcentral is "partial large subunit ribosomal RNA". It matches the Rfam family "Eukaryotic large subunit ribosomal RNA", at positions 31 to 623 of the family's 3401-position model. The record is from RNAcentral. Lineage: Eukaryota; Fungi; Ascomycota; Sordariomycetes; Ophiostomatales; Ophiostomataceae.
AACUUUGCAUAUCAAAUAGCGGAGCAAAAGAAACCAACAGGGAUUGCCCCAGUAACGGCGAGUGAAGCGGCAACAGCUCAAAUUUGAAAUCUGGCCCCCCGGCCCGAGUUGUAAUUUGGAGAGGAUGCUUUUGGCGCGGCGCCGUCCGAGUUCCUUGGAACAGGACGCCACAGAGGGUGAGAGCCCCGUACGGACGGACGCCUAGCCUCUACAAAGCUCCUUCGACGAGUCGAGUAGUUUGGGAAUGCUGCUCAAAAUGGGAGGUAAAUUUCUUCUAAAGCUAAAUACCGGCCAGAGACCGAUAGCGCACAAGUAGAGUGAUCGAAAGAUGAAAAGCACUUUGAAAAGAGGGUUAAAAAGUACGUGAAAUUGUUGAAAGGGAAGCGCCUGUGACCAGACUUGCGCCCCGUGGACCACCCGGCGUUCUCGCCGGUGCACUCCGCGGGGCGCAGGCCAGCAUCGGUUUUCCUAGGGGGACAAAGGCCGCGGGAACGUAGCUCCUUCGGGAGUGUUAUAGCCCGCGGCGGCAUGCCCCUGGGGGGACCGAGGACCGCGCUCGGCAAGGAUGCGACGUAGACAGC